This is a non-coding RNA of Dipodomys spectabilis (banner-tailed kangaroo rat), 480 nucleotides long. The record is from the annotation of a RefSeq genome assembly. NCBI's taxonomy places the organism in Eukaryota, Metazoa, Chordata, Mammalia, Rodentia, Heteromyidae.
AUGGACUGUAAAGAUUAUACCACACGCUAUAUACUUCGUAUUGCUGUUGAUGACUGCAACUCAGCACCAUGUGGAGAUUUGGAGAACACUUUUGAGUUAUUCUUGAUUGUUCACACCCUGUGUAGCAGUCAGACCCACUCAGCACACAGCAUGGACAUAAAGGUCCCUGCUCAGCUCCAGGGGCUCCUGAUGCUCUGGCUCCCAGGUUUCAGAUGUGACAUCCAGAUGACCCAGUGUCCAUCUUCCCUGUCUGCAUCUCCGGGAGACAGAGUCUCCAUCAAUUGCUGGGCCAGUCAAGACAUUCACUCUAAUUUAGCCUGGUAUCAGCAGAAACCAGGGAAAACUCUCAAGCUCCUGAUCUAUGAAACAUCCAGUUUGGAAUCUAGGAACCCAUCCAUGUUCAGUGGCACUGGAUCUGGAACAGAGUAUUCUCUCACCAUUAACAGCCUGCAGCCUGAAGAUGUUGAAAUUUAUUACUGA